RNAcentral lists this ribosomal RNA (2938 nucleotides) under Candidatus Omnitrophota bacterium. RNAcentral describes it as "partial 23S ribosomal RNA". It matches the Rfam family "Bacterial large subunit ribosomal RNA", at positions 70 to 2666 of the family's 2925-position model. The record is from RNAcentral. Lineage: Bacteria; Pseudomonadati; Candidatus Omnitrophota.
GAUAUGUCUCGGGGAGUCGCAAACAGGCUUUGAUCCGGGAGAUUCCGAAUGGGGCAACCCAUCGCAGGUUAUACUGCGAUAUUUUUUGCCUGAAAUUCAAAAUAGGGCAAAAAAAGUGAAACCAGGAGAAUUGAAACAUCUAAGUAUCCUGAGGAAAAGAAAUCACAGAGAUUCCCCUAGUAGCGGCGAGCGAAAAGGGAAGAGCCUAAACCAUUUUUCCGCAAGGAAAAAUGGGGUUGCGGGACCUCGAUGUGGCAGAUGGAUGGAUAGCAGAAAUGCAUGGGAAGGCAUACCAAAGAGAGUGAAAGUCUCGUAUGCGAAAUUCUGAAGUCGCCUAGGGGUAUCCCAAGUACUACGGGGCACGUGGAAUCCUGUAGGAAUCCGGGCCGACCACGGUCUAAGGCUAAAAACUACACCUAAACCGAUAGUGCACAAGUACCGUGAGGGAAAGUUGAAAAGAACGCUGGUGAAGCGAGUGAAAUAGAACCUAAAAUCAUAAACCUACAAGCGGUGGGAGGGCUAUAUCCCCGCCUUUGGCGGGGAAAUGCCUGACCGCGUACCUUUUGCAUAAUGGACCGACGAGUUACUGUGCGGUGCGAGCUUAAUCUGCCAAAGACCUUGGCAGGGGAGGCGUAGCGAAAGCGAGUCCUAACUGGGCGUUUUAGUACUGUAUAGUAGACCCGAAGCUGAGUGAUCUACCCAUGGCCAGAGUGAAGUCCUCCGAAAGGAGGAUGGAGGCUUGAACCCGUUAGCGUUGAAAAGCUAUGGGAUGAGCUGUGGGUCGGAGCGAAAGACUAAACAAACUCAGAAAUAGCUGGUUCUCCCCGAAAUAUUUCUAGGGAUAGCCUCGGGGAAAUUAAAUAGUAGGGGUAGAGUGCUGAAUGGGUUACAGGGCCUUACUAGGUCGCUGAACCCAACCAAACUUCGAAUACUACUAUUUUUAUCCCGGGAGUAAGACGCUGGGGGCUAAGCUCCGGCGUCAAAAGGGUAUCAGCCCAGACCAUCAGCUAAGGUCCCUAAGAAUAGGCUAAGUGGUAAAGGAUGUGAUCUCGCAUUGACAACCAGGAUGUUGGCUUAGAGGCAGCCAUCAUUUAAAGAGUGCGUAACAGCUCACUGGUCGAGCGACCUCGCGCCUAAGAUAAUCGGGGCUUAAGCCUAUUACCGAAGCUAUGGGUUUCUGCUACUUCGGUAGCAGGAGCGGUAGGGGAGCAUACUCUGACGAGUGAAGGCGUACCGUGAGGAGCGCUGGACGUCAGAGUAGAGAUUAUGUCGGUAUGAGUAGCGAAAACACCUGCGAGAAACAGGUGCACCGAAAGUCUAAGGUUUCCUGGGGAAGGUUAAUCCGCCCAGGGUUAGUCGAGCCUAAGCCGAGGCCAAAGGGCGUAGGCGAUGGAUAAUCCGUUAAUAUUCGGAUACCAGUCAGGUGGCGUUUCCCGCGCAAGCGGGAUCCCGCCUGCUAUGAAAAUAGCGUGGCGGGAAAAACUUUUUGUAUGACGUGGCGUGUUUAGGCCGGCGCAGUGUUGGAUGUCUGCGUUCUUUCCUGAGUAAUUAGGAGAGGGGAUCCCGUGCAAAUCGCACGGGAGAAUUGUUCUAAAAUGUGCUGCCAAGAAAAGUACAAAAAGGAGUUGCCUGACUGUUCGUACCGGAAUCCGACACAGGUAGACCUCCAAAAUAUGGUAAGGUGCUCGAGAUAACCCUCGUUAAGGAACUCGGCAAAUUAGCCUCGUAAGUUAGCAAUAAGAGGUGCCCUUCAUUGAAAGAUGACAGGGCCUCAGUAAAGUGGAUCGGGUGACUGUUUAGCAAAAACACAGCACUCUGCAAACUCGAAAGAGGAAGUAUAGGGUGUGAUACCUGCCCGGUGCUGGAAGGUUAAGGAGAGGAGUCAGCUUUUCGUAAGAUUAGCGAAGCCCCGAACCGAAGCCCCAGUAAACGGCGGCUGUAACUAUAACAGUCCUAAGGUAGCGAAAUUCCUUGUGGGGUAAGUUCCCACGCGCACGAAUGGUUUAACAACCUGAUCGCUGUCUCAACGAGGGACUCGGCGAAAUUGUAGUGGCGGUGAAGAUGCCGUCUACCCGCAUCAAGACGAAAAGACCCCAGAACCUUUACUAUACCCUGCCAUUGGAUCUUGGUCCAAUAUGUGUAGCAUAGGUGGGAGGCUUUGAAGCCUAGGCGCUAGCUUAGGCAGAGCCACAAUGUGAAAUACCACCCUUGUUGUAUUAAGAUUCUAACUUAUUGCCGUGAAUCCGGCGUAAGGACAGUGACAGGCGGGUAGUUUGACUGGGGCGGUUCCCUUCUAAAAGGUAACGAAGGGGCCCAAAGGUUGGCUCAGGGCGUUCGGCAAUCGCCCGUGGAGUGUAAGCGCAUAAGCCAGCUUGACUGCGAGUUCGACAGAACGAGCAGAUACGAAAGUAGGGGCUAGUGAUCCGGUGGUUGAACGUGGAAUCGCCAUCGCUCAACGGAUAAUAGGUACUCUGGGGAUAACAGGCUUAUCGGGCUCGAGAGUUCAUAUCGACAGCCCGGUUUGGCACCUCAAAUUUGGGGUGUUCCGGCGGUAACGUCGGAAAUGUAUUGGCUAAUAACGGUGAAACCCAAUAGAAGGAGGGUAAUACCGUGGGAAGUCCAUCAAAAUCUAAAAUUCAAAAUUUUGAAUAAUGAUUUGAUCUGACCCCGUAACGACUGAUCCCCGACAAAGCGUCGGGGAGAGAUAGCAUAUAUAUAUUUAAUGCUAUAAUACGCCAACUCCUCGAAAGAGGAUGAAGAUAUAGUCUAAUCCCAUGCGAAAGUGUGGAUAAGAUUGCGAUGUCGGCUCAUCCUAUCCUGGGGCUGUAUAAGGUCCCAAGGGUCCGGCUGUUCGCCGGUUAAAAGGGUACGCGAGCUGGGUUCAGAACGUAGAUAACACUGCGUUGUCCUACAGCAAUGUAGGAUUAGCACCGACUUA